RNAcentral lists this long non-coding RNA (240 nucleotides) under Capsicum annuum. RNAcentral describes it as "long non-coding RNA (CANN_LNC007392)". The record is from RNAcentral. Lineage: Eukaryota; Viridiplantae; Streptophyta; Magnoliopsida; Solanales; Solanaceae.
GAGCCUUUACUCAUUCCAUACUUCUUGGACAGGUUUAAGGUUACCGAGAGGGUCAAAGUUGUCUUCUCCCAAUUUGAGUACCAUGAGGAGGUGUGGUGUGAUAUUCUUCCAUUGACAUAUGGUCAUGUAUGCUUAGGUGUCGAUUGGUUUGCACAACAUAGAGUUCUAAAUGUGCAAAAUUGGCCUAAUGUUAUAAGAGAUCGGUGGGGAAAUCACCUCAUGACAUACAUGCUGCCCGAG